Pogona vitticeps (central bearded dragon) is the source of this 614-nucleotide non-coding RNA. Lineage: Eukaryota; Metazoa; Chordata; Lepidosauria; Squamata; Agamidae. The record is from RefSeq and is a predicted model, not a curated record.
CAUUGAUCUGUUUAGCUCUGGAUCUGUCUUCUGUUGAAGAUCUGGAUCUGUUCCUUGUUGCUUUAACCUGAAAAGAAAUGGGAGGGGAGACAAAGACAACACCAACAACAAGAACAAGAACAACAAAAACUCUGAAGGCAAGAGGAAAGGACAAAGUUGCAAAUUUUCCUGCAGCUGCUUUGAUGAGAAAUUCUUCUCUCUCAACACCACCACUCACAAGUCGAGGACUGAGGAGAAAGCUCAACAUAAUGUCUGCCUCACAAGAUGGAGGAUAAAGAACAAGAACUAUAUAAAAAAUGCCUCAGAGUGCAGAAGGUUAAGCACCUGGUGGCAGGAAGGAAAGAGAACUGUUGAUUGGUUGCUUAGGAGCAAGUGAACAAACAACUGAGAUCACCCUUUCUUACAUACAUAAGAAAAGAUGACAGUCAAGUCAGUAAUGGGAAAUACAGAAUGAAUUCUCCCGUGGUACACCUGAAAGAAACUUGGAGAUCUUUCUUAUCUGUCCUGCUGGAAACUGGUUGGAUGAGCCACCUGACACAGACAUAUUGAAUCAAAGCACAAAUAUAUGUUUCCCUUAUUGGAAAAUGAAGUAUUAUUCAAAAAGCAAGAUACAA